UACGAAGGUGGCAAGCGUUACUCGGAAUUACUAGGCGUAAAGGGCAGGUAGGUGGUUUGGUUAGUCUGUUGUGAAAGCUCCUUGCUUAACGGGGAGAGGUCAACAGAUACUGCCAGGCUUGAGUAUGGGAGAGGGUACUGGAAUUCCCGGUGUAGCGGUGAAAUGCGCAGAGAUCGGGAGGAACACCAAUGGCGAAAGCAGGUACCUGGACCAUUACUGACACUCAGCUGCGAAAGCUAGGGGAGCAAACAGG
Molecule: ribosomal RNA, 253 nt
Filed under: uncultured bacterium
Lineage: Bacteria
Description: partial 16S ribosomal RNA
Rfam family: Bacterial small subunit ribosomal RNA
Source: RNAcentral